GCCACGUCAUGCCUGUUUCACCUGAAAGCUUCUAUAUACGAGGAGGGUCUUCCCAUUCUAGACAGGGUUCAAGAAUAUGCUGCUUCCUAGAAACUUGGGCAAAGUCUUUCCAGUUAUAGAAGGAAGCAGCAAAGAUGCCUAGGGAGGGAAUCUGUCCAACCCCAUGUCUGUGCAAUGCUGUCUUAUGAAAUGGGGCUGAUUUUAUUUGGUAGUUAAGUUGGGCUUUGACUGGAAAACUCACUCACCUGCAGAGGUCUGCACAUGCGCACAUGGAAAUACUAAAACACUCUGAGCACUCACCAUGUGCCAGGCACAAUGCCCAGGGCUUUGCACACACCAUCGCCUCCAAGCCUCAAAGGUGCCUGGCGGGGAGGGCAGAUAUCAUUAUCCCUGUUUUACAGGUGAGGUGCCCAAGGCUCAGAAAGCCUAGGAAACUUGCCUAAAAUUGAAAAACUAAAGUAAAAGAACUUGGAUCCAGGAUUGAUGGAUUUUUAAAGCAUCAUCUCUUAACCACCGUGCUGUGGGGCAACAUGUUUAUUAUGUGUCGGAGGCACUGGAAUUCUGAGGAGGAACAGGAAGGACAGAUUCUUGACUUCAGAAAGCUUGAGUUCAACCACUCACCAGCGCACACAGAGUUACUGUCACUUGUAUGCUCCAAGACUCCUACAACCAAGGGGCCCAUGUCCCAUCUUUCCCCGUCACACUACUCUCAGACCUCCUGCCCUUGAUUCCCAGUGCAAACAUCGGGUGUACCAUAAAGACUGGGGUAUUCUCCAGUAGAACUUCGGAUGCUUGAAUUUUACAGGCAACAAUGUGAGCAAUUCGACCACGGAUGCAUGACACUAUAGUUACUAAGCUCCUGAACUAGCCACUGUUUGUUUUAUAUUGUUUUUUAAUUUGAUUGGGAAGUUUCUCUGACCCCAUUACUCUGUAUUUUCAGAAGAGCGAGACAGAAGAGCAACAGGGCAGGGACCAGGAAGAUUUCAAGCUUGGAGACUCAGAAAGUCAAGUGAUAGAACGAGAAGAAAUAAAGCAGGGUGAGGUGAAACUCCUUUGCUUCCAUGACCUCUGAAGGGAAGUGAUGAUGUAUCUGAAGGACACUGCACACGACGAUGUAACAGAAAGAAGGAAGCAAAGGUUGCACUAAUUGCAGAGUUUGCCAAGAGUGGACUAGCUGCCAAGGCUACUUCAACCUUCCCAUGAUCUGGGAGACAGCACAGUGUCCUGCUGUGCUGGACGUCUUCCAGUGGCAUUGACCCAAUAGGGGGGUUGGGGAGAAGACUUCUUGGUAUUAAGAAAGAGAAACUUCCCUCCAAAGUCAAGCUACUGAACCAGCUACAUGUGAGAUACAGGAGGACUGACCAAGACCCCUUGAAUCCCAGCAAGAAUGCUGAGAGCAGACUUAAGGGCUCCCAGUUCCUACUCUGCCAGCCUCAUCUGGGGGAGCUGUUCCUAAGGCUCCUGAUGAAUCCAGACACCCACCUCAGCCUCACUCUAGGAAUCCAACCUUCCCCAAAAUGCCUGCGUUUGACCACUGGAGGGCAGUGCUGGACCAGCCAAAUCUCUUUAGGGGCUCUGCUCCACCGUUGUCCCCACCUUGCCCUGGCAUAAGCGGCAUGCAGCCUCUGGUUGGGAGCCAAAACCGAAGGACCACGGGAGCACCCUGAGAGCAGCAGCACGGCCAGCACUGUUACAAUGGCUCCCCGCGCCUGGCGUCGUAGGAAUAAAAGGCAGUUCAUUGGAAAGAGGAUUUGGCUCCAUAGGUGACACAGUCCCCUGGGAAAGAGACUGAAAGGAAAACUUGCCUCAUCAUGUCAUUAAGCAGGAACAAUCUGUGCCUCUGACCAGGGGUUGUAGACUCCUACUUUUUUCUACCCUCUCGGAUGUAAGCUCUUGGCAGCACAUACAGUGCUUGGCAAUAAACGUCUGUUGAAUGAGU
Molecule: long non-coding RNA, 1939 nt
Organism: Leopardus geoffroyi (Geoffroy's cat)
Lineage: Eukaryota; Metazoa; Chordata; Mammalia; Carnivora; Felidae
Exons: 2
Source: RefSeq, a predicted model, not a curated record